UGGGGAAUAUUGGACAAUGGGCGGAAGCCUGAUCCAGCAAUACCGCGUGUGUGAAGAAGGCCUUAGGGUUGUAAAGCACUUUCAAUAGGGAGGAAAAAGGUAAGCUUAAUACGUUUGCCCUUGACAUUACCUAUACAAGAAGCACCGGCUAACUCCGUGCCAGCAGCCGCGGUAAUACGGAGGGUGCAAGCGUUAAUCGGAAUUACUGGGCGUAAAGCGUGCGUAGGCGGCCUGUUAAGUCAGAUGUGAAAGCCCCGGGCUCAACCUGGGAACUGCAUUUGAAACUGGCAAGCUAGAGUUGGGUAGAGGGGAGUGGAAUUUCAGGUGUAGCGGUGAAAUGCGUAGAUAUCUGAAGGAACACCAGUGGCGAAGGCGACUCCCUGGACUCAAACUGACGCUGAGGCACGAAAGCGUGGGUAGCAAACAGGAUUAGAUACCCGUGUAGUCCCUGAGCGGGCUGGCAAGGCGCAU
This 471-nucleotide ribosomal RNA is filed under the name uncultured bacterium. RNAcentral's name for it is "bacterial SSU rRNA". It matches the Rfam family "Bacterial small subunit ribosomal RNA", at positions 355 to 825 of the family's 1533-position model. The record is from RNAcentral.